AUGACAACUCAGUUCAACAGACGGCGGAGGGGUGGAGGGGUUUCCAUGUUCCUGGGCAGCUAUUAACGCUGCCGGGCUGAAAGAGCUUUUUAAUUGACUCCAGUUAUCCUUUUUUAAUGCCGUAAUUAAAAGGGCUAAUUCAACACACAGAGAUUUAAAAAUAAUAAUAAUACUGACAAGCAAGUCCUGCAAGGUAUUUGCAGCGCACAGCAGUAUCCUAGCAAUCAAAGGGAGGAAUCAGGUCUUAAAAGGGAGCUUUAGAGAAGAAGAGACAAUAUUACUUUGGCUCCGUGCAAGGCCCUGCAGCCCUCUGCCCCUUCCCAGGCACCCGAACACCCUGAGCACACAGCAGGGGGGGUUCCCAGGAGAGCUACCCCCAGUGCUCAUUAAGCUGCCCACCUGGCAGUGCACCAUCCACUUCUUUAUCUCUGAUGCUCUGUGAGCUGCUGGAUCCUUUCUUUUCCGCAGUCAUCGGGUGAUUAAAGCAGAUGGACGGAGCAGAAGAAAAGCAUUUUAAAAGGGCCAGCAUCUCAGAUCAGCAAUUUUCAUGGCCAUAAAGAUGGGGAGGGAAAAAAAAAAGAUAGAAUAAACUCUUUCUCUCUCCUUUGCUGAAAUUUACAGUGUGUUUCUAUUGCAGUUUAACCAGGUGAGAGCAGGGCUGCCUGCCAGCACUGCUCGUCAGGUAACCACGGGCUGUGCAGCACAGACAGAUGCUUUUCACUCUGUGCACCUCCCUCCCUGCUGCCAUCCCCCUGUCCGUGCUCUCCUCGCUCUCCAUGGUCUCCUCUCAUCACACACCUCAGUGGGUCCCACUGUAAUGGGGAACGGUUCAUUUCCCAAUCCACCUACAUUACUGAGGUACUAAAGAAAUAUUGCCCCGUGAAGGGGAUUUUUCCUCUUUCCCUUUAAAACAAUGCACUCAGCUGAGCCAAGGAUCAGAGGAGCAGUGUGAACCUCAACAAAGUACAGUGUUCCCCCCCACGACACCUGAGGUUUCUGGGCUGUCUCCUGGUGGACUCGGGCAGUGCUGGGGGUCCCUGGGUGCCCAGAGCAGGGUGCAGGAUGCUGGCCGUGGGUCCCAUCAGCAGGCAGCUCUGGAGACUUCAUCAUGUGCCU
Molecule: long non-coding RNA, 1116 nt
Filed under: Gallus gallus (chicken)
Lineage: Eukaryota; Metazoa; Chordata; Aves; Galliformes; Phasianidae
Description: lncRNA (ENSGALG00010025011.1)
Source: RNAcentral